CUGGCAUGAACGGUUGUAGGUGAGUAAAGGGUAGUGCCUUUUAUUGAAACCUUCUAAUUUAACGACGGAUCUACAUUCCCAACACUAAUAAAGUAAUAAAAGAGACUUUUAUUUAAUUUUCAUUUAUUAAUAUUAGUAAGAAACUUUUUGUAAGCCUGUAAUAACCCAACGCUUGGCCACCACCAACCUUAUUUCAUGACCCCAUUCAGAAAAAGAAAUGUACGUGCAAUUGUAAGUGACUGGAUAUUCAACAGAAACAUGUAAAGACAUUAUUGCUAGUGAUGUCAUGAGUUCCUGAAUUUGACGAUGCGCUCGCGUUACCUUACAUGAUUGAGCAACCAUUUGGGUUCUCGUCGCUAAAACAUUCACCGCGGCUCGUGUAACAGUAGCUAUACCCGCCGCCGCCGCCCCAGCUGUCAUAAACUGGCCUACCGUAAGUCUGGUAACAUGGGCGUAGGGGUGGAGGUGGUCCACCAUAAUAGCAAGGUCCCCCACCAACGCCAUGAUAGCAUUCCGUGCAACAGCAUCCGAUGGGGGGAUAAGCCAUUGGUGGUGGAGGACAAGGUUCUGGAACCUUUGGUGCUGCUGCUGGCGGUUUCGGUGGUGGUUCUUUUCGUUUCUCAGGUUCCUUAGGCUUUUCGGGUUGUUUAGGUUUCUCGGGUUCUUUGGGUUUUUCGGGUUCUUUCGGCUUUUCGGGUUGUUUAGGUUUCUCGGGUUCUUUGGGUUUUUCGGGUUCUUUUGGUUUUUCGGGUGCUUUAGGCUUUUCGGGUUCUUUUGGUUUUUCUGGUACUUUAGGCUUCUCUGGUUCUUUGGGUUUUUCAGGUUCUUUGGGCUUUUCGGGUUCUUUAGGCUUCUCAGGCUCCUUGGGUUUGGGAGGAGGAGGUGGAGGUUUGAUCUCAAUGCUCUUGAUUGAUCCAGCACCCUUGCAACAUAUCUUGUCCCUCAGCUUCUCAGGAUUGCAGCAUACCACAGUAAUGGUCACGGUGUUGGCUUUCUCAUUGUAUAUCUGGUCUCGUAUUUCUCUUGUUCGCAAAAACCCAUCAUCAAAAAAUUAUCAACUUAAACCAUAUAAAAAACUACUUUGCAAUUAUUAAAAUGCUAAACACAAAAAGGACAAGCAUAAAAAUCAGGAA
RNAcentral lists this long non-coding RNA (1133 nucleotides) under Gossypium raimondii (Peruvian cotton). RNAcentral describes it as "long non-coding RNA (GRAI_LNC008644)". Lineage: Eukaryota; Viridiplantae; Streptophyta; Magnoliopsida; Malvales; Malvaceae. The record is from RNAcentral.